This 462-nucleotide ribosomal RNA is filed under the name uncultured bacterium. Its description in RNAcentral is "partial 16S ribosomal RNA". It matches the Rfam family "Bacterial small subunit ribosomal RNA", at positions 28 to 507 of the family's 1533-position model. The record is from RNAcentral.
GACGAACGCAGGCGGCGUGCUUAACACAUGCAAGUCGAGCGGAAAGGCCCUUCGGGGUACUCGAGCGGCGAACGGGUGAGUAACACGUGAGUAACCUGCCCCAGACUUUGGGAUAACCCUCGGAAACGGGGGCUAAUACCGGAUACGACACAGCUUCGCAUGGGGUCUGUGUGGAAAGUUUUUCGGUUUGGGAUGGGCUCGCGGCCUAUCAGCUUGUUGGUGGGGUGAUGGCCUACCAAGGCGACGACGGGUAGCCGGCCUGAGAGGGCGACCGGCCACACUGGGACUGAGACACGGCCCAGACUCCUACGGGAGGCAGCAGUGGGGAAUAUUGCACAAUGGGCGGAAGCCUGAUGCAGCGACGCCGCGUGAGGGAUGACGGCCUUCGGGUUGUAAACCUCUUUCAGCAGGGACGAAGCGUAAGUGACGGUACCUGCAGAAGAAGCGCCGGCCAACUACGUG